AGAGUUUGAUCAUGGCUCAGGACGAACGCUGGCAGCGUGCCUAUACAUGCAAGUCGAACGAACUCUGGUAUUGAUUGGUGCUUGCAUCAUGAUUUACAUUUGAGUGAGUGGCGAACUGGUGAGUAACACGUGGGAAACCUGCCCAGAAGAGGGGGAUAACACCUGGAAACAGAUGCUAAUACCGCAUAACAACUUGGACCGCAUGGUCCGAGUUUGAAAGAUGGCUUCGGCUAUCACUUUUGGAUGGUCCCGCGGCGUAUUAGCUAGAUGGUGAGGUAACGGCCCACCAUGGCAAUGAUACGUAGCCGACCUGAGAGGGUAAUCGGCCACAUUGGGACUGAGACACGGCCCAAACUCCUACGGGAGGCAGCAGUAGGGAAUCUUCCACAAUGGACGAAAGUCUGAUGGAGCAACGCCGCGUGAGUGAAGAAGGGUUUCGGCUCGUAAAACUCUGUUGUUAAAGAAGAACAUAUCUGAGAGUAACUGUUCAGGUAUUGACGGUAUUUCACCAGAAAGCCACGGCUAACUACGUGCCAGCAGCCGCGGUAAUACGUAGGUGGCAAGCGUUGUCCGGAUUUAUUGGGCGUAAAGCGAGCGCAGGCGGUUUUUUAAGUCUGAUGUGAAAGCCUUCGGCUCAACCGAAGAAGUGCAUCGGAAACUGGGAAACUUGAGUGCAGAAGAGGACAGUGGAACUCCAUGUGUAGCGGUGAAAUGCGUAGAUAUAUGGAAGAACACCAGUGGCGAAGGCGGCUGUCUGGUCCGUAACUGACGCUGAGGCUCGAAAGUAUGGGUAGCAAACAGGAUUAGAUACCCUGGUAGUCCAUACCGUAAACGAUGAAUGUCUAAGUGUUGGAGGGUUUCCGCCCUUCAGUGCUGCAGCUAACGCAUUAAGCAUUCCGCCUGGGGAGUA
RNAcentral lists this ribosomal RNA (910 nucleotides) under uncultured bacterium. RNAcentral's name for it is "bacterial SSU rRNA". It matches the Rfam family "Bacterial small subunit ribosomal RNA", at positions 8 to 882 of the family's 1533-position model. The record is from RNAcentral.